This 352-nucleotide ribosomal RNA is filed under the name uncultured Coriobacteriales bacterium. RNAcentral describes it as "partial 16S ribosomal RNA". Lineage: Bacteria; Bacillati; Actinomycetota; Coriobacteriia; Coriobacteriales. The record is from RNAcentral.
GGAGUUUGGGCCGUGUCUCAGUCCCAAUGUGGCCGUUCACCCUCUCAGGCCGGCUACUGAUCGUCGUCUUGGUAGGCCGUUACCCUGCCAACUAACUAAUCAGACGCGGGCCCAUCCUGUACCACCUCGGUUUUUCGCACUGUGCCAUGCGGCACCGUACGCUUAUGCGGUAUUAGCAGUCAUUUCUAACUGUUGUCCCCCUGUACAGGGCAGGUUACCCACGCGUUACUCACCCGUCCGCCACUCAGUCAUCCGCUCCUUCCCUCCGAAGAGUUCCGCAGCAGAGCUUCGUUCGACUUGCAUGUGUUAGGCACGCCGCCAGCGUUCAUCCUGAGCCAGGAGUCAAACUACU